CCCUACUGGAACCAGAUGCCCUCACCAACCUCCAUGCAAUUGAAGAUGAUGGAGAAACAUUGUCUGCAGCAUUUGAAAGGGAAGAGGAAAGGCCUAUUGAGGAUGAAAUCGAAUUCAAUGAGAGGCCAUCCACUUCUAGCUCUACUUCACAGCUUACCUCUCUUCCAGUCAAAGAGCUCUAUAAAAUCUAUCUGGGAAAACAAAUAAACAAAGCAAACUUGGAAAUGG
Long non-coding RNA from Pleuronectes platessa (European plaice), 228 nucleotides. RefSeq lists it as uncharacterized. Lineage: Eukaryota; Metazoa; Chordata; Actinopteri; Pleuronectiformes; Pleuronectidae. The transcript is spliced from 4 exons. The record is from RefSeq and is a predicted model, not a curated record.